CAGGAAGGGAAAAGAGGGUCAAAACCCUAGUUUCUUCAAAAUCUUCAAAUUGAAAGGCAAGAUGAAGCUUUAACUCAUAACCGAGCAUAGAUUAAUGAUCACCUUCACAAGGGGAUCGCAAGGAAUCAUGUCGAGACGGAAUCAAGCACGGAAGGCUAACGGGUCAAGAAGUGGCGAAGAAACAAAUAUGAAUACGGAUGCACGAGGAACGAGAAUAUCGGAUUCUUACGAAAUUUAAGCUCUACCUGAAAUAAGAGGAUGAGUGCCACACGGACUUCUUCUGCUACUUAGAAAGUGAAGCGGACGUAGAUCGAGUCAAGAGCAAGGAUUGCACGGAUAGAUCGGUCAUAUAAUUGAAGUGUAUAACGUCUAGAAAUGUAAAUUUUAGUAUGAAUGUUGUGAAUUCUUUUAUAGAACGUUUAACAUUUUUAGCAUUUGGAACCUUCGCGAAAGUAAUGUCGUUAAUAAGGAAAUAAAUUUUAAAGC
Long non-coding RNA from Helianthus annuus (common sunflower), 486 nucleotides. RefSeq lists it as uncharacterized. The transcript has 4 exons. Lineage: Eukaryota; Viridiplantae; Streptophyta; Magnoliopsida; Asterales; Asteraceae. The record is from RefSeq and is a predicted model, not a curated record.